Molecule: ribosomal RNA, 443 nt
Filed under: uncultured bacterium
Lineage: Bacteria
Description: partial 16S ribosomal RNA
Rfam family: Bacterial small subunit ribosomal RNA
Source: RNAcentral
CCUACGGGAGGCAGCAGUGGGGAAUAUUGGGCAAUGGGCGCAAGCCUGACCCAGCAACGCCGCGUGAAGGAAGAAGGCUUUCGGGUUGUAAACUUCUUUUCUCAGGGACGAAGAAAGUGACGGUACCUGAGGACUAAGCCACGGCUAACUACGUGCCAGCAGCCGCGGUAAUACGUAGGUGGCAAGCGUUAUCCGGAUUUACUGGGUGUAAAGGGCGUGUAGGCGGGAAAGCAAGUCAGAUGUGAAAACCAUGGGCUCAACCUGUGGCCUGCAUUUGAAACUGUUUUUCUUGAGUACUGGAGAGGCAGACGGAAUUCCUAGUGUAGCGGUGAAAUGCGUAGAUAUUAGGAGGAACACCAGUGGCGAAGGCGGUAUGCUGGACAGCAACUGACGCUGAGGCGCGAAAGCGUGGGGAGCAAACAGGAUUAGAUACCCCAGUAGUC